Molecule: ribosomal RNA, 154 nt
Filed under: uncultured eukaryote
Lineage: Eukaryota
Description: partial 18S ribosomal RNA
Rfam family: Eukaryotic small subunit ribosomal RNA
Source: RNAcentral
UGGUGGAGUGAUUUGUCUGGUUAAUUCCGUUAACAACGAGACCUUAACCUGCUAAAUAGUUACGCGAAUGGUUGCCCCUCGGGGCUCUCAUUCGUGGUUACACUUCUUAGAGGGACUAUUCGUGUCUAGCGAAUGGGAGUUUGAGGCAAUAACA